UUUGUUCGGCUGGAUCUUGCACAGGUGCUGCAUGGUUGUCGUCAGCUCGUGUCGUGAGAUGUUGGGUUAAGUCCCGCAACGAGCGCAACCCUCAUUCUUAGUUACCAACAGGUAAUGCUGGGCACUCUAAGGAAACUGCCAGUGAUAAACUGGAGGAAGGUGGGGAUGAUGUCAAAUCAGCACGGCCCUUAUAGGGUGGGCUACACACGUGCUACAAUGGCAACUACAAUAGGUUGCGAGACCGCAAGGUUUAGCUAAUCCAUAAAAGUGCUCAUCGUGGUUUU
This 284-nucleotide ribosomal RNA is filed under the name uncultured Ehrlichia sp. RNAcentral describes it as "partial 16S ribosomal RNA". It matches the Rfam family "Bacterial small subunit ribosomal RNA", at positions 1012 to 1298 of the family's 1533-position model. The record is from RNAcentral. Lineage: Bacteria; Pseudomonadati; Pseudomonadota; Alphaproteobacteria; Rickettsiales; Anaplasmataceae.